GACGAACGCUGGCGGCGUGCUUAACACAUGCAAGUCAAACGGAAAGGCCCUGCUUUUGUGGGGUGCUCGAGUGGCGAACGGGUGAGUAACACGUGAGUAACCUGCCCUUGACUUUGGGAUAACUUCAGGAAACUGGGGCUAAUACCGGAUAGGAGCUCCUGCUGCAUGGUGGGGGUUGGAAAGUUUCGGCGGUUGGGGAUGGACUCGCGGCUUAUCAGCUUGUUGGUGGGGUAGUGGCUUACCAAGGCUUUGACGGGUAGCCGGCCUGAGAGGGUGACCGGCCACAUUGGGACUGAGAUACGGCCCAGACUCCUACGGGAGGCAGCAGUGGGGAAUAUUGCACAAUGGGCGGAAGCCUGAUGCAGCAACGCCGCGUGCGGGAUGACGGCCUUCGGGUUGUAAACCGCUUUCGCCUGUGACGAAGCGUGAGUGAUGGUAAUGGGUAAAGAAGCACCGGCUAACUACGUG
Molecule: ribosomal RNA, 468 nt
Filed under: uncultured bacterium
Lineage: Bacteria
Description: partial 16S ribosomal RNA
Rfam family: Bacterial small subunit ribosomal RNA
Source: RNAcentral